AUUGAUACUAAGCCAUGCGAGUCAUUGUAGCAAUACAAGGCAUACGGCUCAGUAACGCGUAGUCAACCUAACCUAUGGACGGGAAUAACCUCGGGAAACUGAGAAUAAUGCCCGAUAGAACACUAUACCUGGAAUGGUUUGUGUUCCAAAUGAUUUAUCGCCGUAGGAUGGGACUGCGGCCUAUCAGUUUGUUGGUGAGGUAAUGGCCCACCAAGACUAUUACAGGUACGGGCUCUGAGAGGAGUAGCCCGGAGAUGGGUACUGAGACACGGACCCAGGCCCUAUGGGGCGCAGCAGGCGAGAAAACUUUGCAAUGUGCGAAAGCACGACAAGGUUAAUCCGAGUGAUUUGUGCUAAACGAAUCUUUUGUCAGUCCUAGAACCACUAACGAAUAAGGGGUGGGCAAGUUCUGGUGUCAGCCGCCGCGGUAAAACCAGCACCUCAAGUGGUCAGGAUGAUUAUUGGGCCUAAAGCAUCCGUAGCCGGCUCUGUAAGUUUUCGGUUAAAUCUGUACGCUUAACGUACAGGCUGCCGGGAAUACUGCAGAGCUAGGGAGUGGGAGAGGUAGACGGUACUCGGUAGGAAGGGGUAAAAUCCUUUGAUCUAUUGAUGACCACCUGUGGCGAAGGCGGUCUACCAGAACACGUCCGACGGUGAGGGAUGAAAGCUGGGGGAGCAAACCGGAUUAGAUACCCGGGUAGUCCCAGCUGUAAACUAUGCAAACUCAGUGAUGCAUUGACUUGUGGUCAAUGCAGUGCUGCAGGGAAGCCGUUAAGUUUGCCGCCUGGGAAGUACGUACGCAAGUAUGAAACUUAAAGGAAUUGGCGGGGGAGCACCACAAGGGGUGAAGCCUGCGGUUCAAUUGGAGUCAACGCC
This 876-nucleotide ribosomal RNA is filed under the name uncultured archaeon. RNAcentral describes it as "bacterial SSU rRNA". It matches the Rfam family "Archaeal small subunit ribosomal RNA", at positions 37 to 919 of the family's 1478-position model. The record is from RNAcentral.